AUCCAGCUUACGAGUCCUAAAUAGGACGAAAUGCGAAUCCCGGAU
Molecule: non-coding RNA, 45 nt
Organism: Trichobilharzia regenti
Lineage: Eukaryota; Metazoa; Platyhelminthes; Trematoda; Strigeidida; Schistosomatidae
Source: Rfam